GUGUAGCUUAGAGGAUAGGGCGUCAGACUUCGAAUCUGAAAAUCGCGGGUUCGAAUCCCGUCA
Molecule: transfer RNA, 63 nt
Filed under: Rhodomonas sp. CCMP768
Lineage: Eukaryota; Cryptophyceae; Pyrenomonadales; Pyrenomonadaceae
Rfam family: tRNA
About the family: Transfer RNA (tRNA) molecules are approximately 80 nucleotides in length. Their secondary structure includes four short double-helical elements and three loops (D, anti-codon, and T loops). Further hydrogen bonds mediate the characteristic L-shaped molecular structure. tRNAs have two regions of fundamental functional importance: the anti-codon, which is responsible for specific mRNA codon recognition, and the 3' end, to which the tRNAs corresponding amino acid is attached (by aminoacyl-tRNA synthetases). tRNAs cope with the degeneracy of the genetic code in two manners: having more than one tRNA (with a specific anti-codon) for a particular amino acid; and 'wobble' base-pairing, i.e. permitting non-standard base-pairing at the 3rd anti-codon position.
Source: RNAcentral